GGCAUAAUUCUACUCUCACAGAAGUCACGGGGAAAACUGCCACUGACUUGAUUGGGAGCAGAAUUAGGCCAACGCUGA
Molecule: microRNA precursor, 78 nt
Filed under: Pelodiscus sinensis (Chinese soft-shelled turtle)
Lineage: Eukaryota; Metazoa; Chordata; Testudines; Trionychidae
Description: miRNA (ENSPSIG00000020240.1)
Source: RNAcentral